CUUCUCAACAGACACUCCUUUAACACUGAACACUGUGACCCUUAUAUCUGCACCUGAGCUGUCGAACUAUCUCGUGAGAUAUGCCUGCAUAGCACAGACUUUCUUCUGCUUCUGCUUUCUACUAUCUCUGGAAUCACCCAGACAAGCACAGUGAAUGGAAUGUCCUUUUAGUCCACAUUUCUGACAACAUCUUCCAGCAAGGUUAUUCCUGUCUUCACCGGAGAAGUCAUCGGAAUAAAUUUUGUGCCUCAUGUUUCUAUCACUAAAUCUCAAAGAACUUGCGGACUCUGGAGCCUUUGUUUAUUUCUUGAGCUCUCACCAGGAUUGUCCUUAAAACUCC
RNAcentral lists this long non-coding RNA (340 nucleotides) under Mus spicilegus (steppe mouse). Its description in RNAcentral is "lncRNA (ENSMSIG00000009526.1)". Lineage: Eukaryota; Metazoa; Chordata; Mammalia; Rodentia; Muridae. The record is from RNAcentral.